GGGGAGAAGGGUUGGCUAAGUCAAUUUCUAGAUAUUCUCUCAGGAAACCUUUGGAUCAAAUUCCAUCCAUCAGCUACUGACUUACCUGAAACUGGCUCACCUCCUCAGCUUUUCAACGGCUUUUGGUGCCGCUCUUUGGGUAACCUUCAUCGGUGGCAUCAUCAUGUUCAAAUGAUGAGGCGAAGGCAGAAGGUGGAGCGAGAACAGAACACUGGAAAUGAAGCUGGGUGCUCAAAGAACCAGGAAGUUGCUAAGGUUAAUCCAAAGCUUGCUGCAAUGAACAAGAAAUUUGGCAUGAUCCAGGUUUUUCAUCCCUCGCUAAUAUUAUGUCUUUUGGAAGCCUAGCCAUGCACUCUUGGUACUUAGCAGGAAAGAUGACUCUGUAAUUUGCACUUCAGGUGAAGGUUGUUACUGGCUAUGAAUUAAAGUGCCUUCUGAUUAUUCCCGGCCAAGCUAUAGUGGUGGAACCAGAAAUUGGCAUUUUAUUUUCUCUUAUAUAAAAAAAAAAA
This 509-nucleotide unclassified non-coding RNA is filed under the name Hevea brasiliensis (rubber tree). Lineage: Eukaryota; Viridiplantae; Streptophyta; Magnoliopsida; Malpighiales; Euphorbiaceae. The record is from RNAcentral.